This is a long non-coding RNA of Hylaeus anthracinus, 1766 nucleotides long. RefSeq lists it as uncharacterized. The record is from RefSeq and is a predicted model, not a curated record. The transcript has 4 exons. NCBI's taxonomy places the organism in Eukaryota, Metazoa, Arthropoda, Insecta, Hymenoptera, Colletidae.
UAUUGCUCAUAGUUGGUAGAUUCUAUACGUAAUGAUAUCAAAACAAACACCUCACUUUCUACAUUUAGUUCUUUCGUGAACCCUUAUAAUGCCGAACAACGAUAUAUCGUUGUCGGCAAUACUUGCGAAAAUGAUAAAAACAAAAUUAAGUUUACGUAAAUUUUGUGGAAUUGUAAUGUAUGAACUAAUUUUUUAUAAACCAUAAAUAUACUGAGUGUCCCACGCAACUAAACGGUUGGAAGUAGAAAAAGAUGUUAAAAGUGAAAGUUAAAUGGUGUCGGAUGGUGCAUGACAUGGAACUAAUUUUGUGCAUUUUUGUGCAUCGGUGCAUCAGAAAAUGCAACUGCAUUAAAAUAAAAAAAAAAAAAAAAAAAAAAAUGGAAACCUAUAUUUCUGGCGACACAGAUGGAUGCAGCUUCUUGUGUUCUACAAAAAAAAGUAUUAACAUAGUGAUGCCCUAAAUUUUUUUUAAAUAAUUCUAUAAUGUUUCAAAGUUCCGUUGAACAUGCUUCCUUCCCUGUUUCUUUUUUUCACGAGGCUCCCUAUAAAAGGCUAUGUUACCUACGUGCACAGGCAACGUAGGUUACUUAAUACUGCGUGGGGUGUUUUCAGAUGUCAUUAGCGGGUAUGCGAAAUAAUUCGAGGUCAAAUGUUGACGUUUAGGGAACAGUUUAUGCGCGCCAAGUAUUCAUCGUCUAAUCAGCGUGCUCCUUGCAGCGUGUAUCGACAUUUGUUUGCGCUUCUCGAAAUCUGUUAACUGAAAUAAUGCUUCGCACGCUGUGCAAUUUCAAAAUAUAACCACACAAACUUUUGGGAGUUGAAUCACCGACAUUCUCUGCUUACAGCGUCUCCAAAUGUGGCAAAGAAACGGCGGAACGCUUCAACUUAAACUCGUACGACCGAGAAAACUCCGAGGAUGAAAACAGCGAGGAAAAUGUUGGGAAUAAAUGCAUAGAAAAGUCGUCUGGCACGACCGUAGUCCAUGAUCUUGAGCGGCAUUCUCGAGUCGUGGGAGUCCUUCGCAUAAUUAACGCCACGAAAGAAUGCAACGGUGAAAGAGAAGGCUUAGAGUAAGAGAAAAACAGCUUUGCGUACGAGAGAAAGACGGAAACGGUCGCGAAAUGAAAGGCGGGGACAGAGAUGCGAACAGCGGCUACAGGAAAAAAGAAAGACGAAACAGAGACGGAAUAGGAGCGACGUAAUUAAUGAUUUCUCCGUAAUAAUUAGCGUUUUCACUGAUCUUGACUGGCCCGCGAGUUCCUUCCUUCAGGAAGAAGUAUAAAUCGAAACCGUGAAAUUAACAUUCAAGAGAACAGGAAAAGAAAACUCGUCGAUUUGUCGAUAAUUGUUAUACCUCGGUUCGGAACAAUUUUCUCAGUAGGAAGGAUUACGUAAAACAUUGUACAACGAUUGGUAUGCCAAUGAAGUAUGCUAGAAGAGACUUCAUGCGUGUAAAAGCGUUUUCCGCGAGUCUGAUCCAUAUUAUAGAACGAAGGUGGGUGCAACGUAUAACGGAAUGCCGCAGAUACCACCCACGGCUGGGAUCACUAACAUUUCCCAUAUGGCCGUUAUCCAAAGAAAAUGUGUAUACACGGUUCCGGGUUCACGGCUGUGGGACGUCGCUGGUCACGCGAUUCACGCGCUCGGAUAAUAACCGCACGAGAACCUUCUUCGAAGGGCUCGAGGAAGUCGCGAGGAGAGUCGUUAACGAACCUAAGCUUCUGAUUACUACUACGUGGAUCUGAAAUACGCCGAGGAAGGUGUAC